GAUGAACGCUGGCGGCGUGCCUAAUACAUGCAAGUAGAACGCUGAAGGAGGAGCUUGCUCUUCUGGAUGAGUUGCGAACGGGUGAGUAACGCGUAGGUAACCUGCCUGGUAGCGGGGGAUAACUAUUGGAAACGAUAGCUAAUACCGCAUGACAACAGUUAUUGCAUGAUAACUGUUUAAAAGGGGCAACUGCUCCACUACCAGAUGGACCUGCGUUGUAUUAGCUAGUUGGUGAGGUAACGGCUCACCAAGGCGACGAUACAUAGCCGAACUGAGAGGGGGAACGGCAAAACUGGGAAUGAGAAAAGGCCCAGAAGCAUAAGGGAGGCAGCAGGAGGGAAACGUCGGAAAUGGACGGAAGUCUGAACGAGCAAAGCCGAGGGAGGGAAGAAGGUUGUCGGAUCGGAAAGAUCUGUUGUAAGAGAAGAAAGAGUGUGAGAGUGGAAAGUUCACAAUGUGACGGUAGCUUAACAGAAAGGGACGGCUAACUACGUG
RNAcentral lists this ribosomal RNA (495 nucleotides) under uncultured bacterium. Its description in RNAcentral is "partial 16S ribosomal RNA". It matches the Rfam family "Bacterial small subunit ribosomal RNA", at positions 28 to 507 of the family's 1533-position model. The record is from RNAcentral.